This 253-nucleotide ribosomal RNA is filed under the name uncultured bacterium. RNAcentral describes it as "partial 16S ribosomal RNA". It matches the Rfam family "Bacterial small subunit ribosomal RNA", at positions 524 to 776 of the family's 1533-position model. The record is from RNAcentral.
UACGGGGGGGGCAAGCGUUGUUCGGAAUUACUGGGCGUAAAGGGCGCGUAGGCGGCUUAUCAAGUCAGGCGUGAAAUUCCCGGGCUCAACCUGGGGGCUGCGCUUGAUACUGAUGAGCUUGAAUGCGGGAGAGGAUAGUGGAAUUCCCAGUGUAGAGGUGAAAUUCGUAGAUAUUGGGAAGAACACCGGUGGCGAAGGCGGCUAUCUGGCCCGUAAUUGACGCUGAGGCGCGAAAGCGUGGGGAGCAAACAGG